Long non-coding RNA from Pseudonaja textilis, 1994 nucleotides. RefSeq lists it as uncharacterized. The record is from RefSeq and is a predicted model, not a curated record. Lineage: Eukaryota; Metazoa; Chordata; Lepidosauria; Squamata; Elapidae.
CUUUGCAUAUUUUGUUACUCUGGCUGCUCUAGAUGCCAUUCUACUGCAUCUUUUCCUGCCAAUUUUGCUUUAUGUGCUAGAUUUACUUUCCUAAUCUUUGCUUCGGGUAAAAUGAUGUUGAUUGAAAUAUUGAUGCAUUUUAUCCUGCCUUCAGCCUCAGCCUAGUCAUGUUGUGCAGAAAGAUGCAGCCAUCCAUGUAUUGAAUGGAUCCAUCUUCCCUUAGCCAUUUACAGGUAUCCGCAAGUUCCGUCAGACAAUUUCCGAGGCCUGUAGGAGCAGCAAGUUGAUUUUCCCCCUGGUCACGUGAUCAAUCAAGACCAUGGAUUUUACAGCCAGCAGCACAUGGUUUGUUUCCCUCAUUGCUGCCAUGUAGAAAACUAGAGGAAUCAGUCUCUUGUUGCUGUUUUCUUUAGGAUGGACUAUAGUUGACUUUCCAUUCUUUCAUUUUAGUUAUCAUAGGUAACUUACUGGAUUCAGAAAUAUCAUAGCCAUCUACAGAAAGUAGCUUGCUGAGAAAGUAUGUAGAUGAGAUCACCGAUUCAUGCAUUUGGCUUGUGAUUGCUAGGAAGAAAAGGUGCUAAUUUCCCACAGGCUCCAAUUUACAUUGAAGGCCUCAUUUACAUGAUAGGGAAGGAGCACAUGAGAAUCUUGAUGUUUGACUUAAGGACUGGGACACGAUCUGGGGAGACAUUUUCAUCACUCCCUUAUUAUUCAUGGAUUACUCUUUGUUAACCCUGGAAUUUACCAAGACUGUUCCCCACUUCAAACCUGCUAGGAUUCGAAAGUAAUUUGGGAUUUUCCCUUGAAGUUUGGAUGCAUGGUGCAACUGAGACUUGUUAACUGCAGCAAAAAUGGGCUUGGAUUGGAUUGCCUCUUUCUUGUCUCAUGAUAUCCUUCUGGAUUUUCCCAAGAGGUUAGGAGUGGGAGACAUGGAGUUUUGGUGGUUAUCCUCUUCUGGGACUGAAGUUGGGGGAAAUCAGUCAGACUGAGGUCCUGCUUUGCAAGAUGCCUCACAACUCUGUUCUCUAUUCAUUUCUUUUUAACAUCUACAUGAAGCAGCUAGGGGAAGACAUCCUUCCGUAUGUCAUGCAAUAUCAGUGUGCUAUUGAUACCCAGUUCUAUCUCUCUCUGUCCACAGGAUACUUUUGAGUUCUGUUCUGGUAUAUGAAAAACAUUAGUGCCUGGAUGGGGAAACAAGCUUUGACUUAAUUCAACCAAGACUGAGGAUCUAUGAAUUUGGCAUAUCUGAUCCCAGGACUGAAGAGUUUUCAUCUUUCUAGAUGUAUUAUUAUCACCUAAUCCCUCAAAGACUAUCUAGAAGCCCAGAAAUCACCAAACCAUGUAGUGCCCGCUCCUUGACAAGCUGUUGGGGCCCCCAAAUAUAUGGUUGGUUCUUAUCAAAUUGGCCUCUGAAAAGACAGUAAGUCUGGUUCCUUUUUCAGUUAUUGGGGUCAAGAAAUUGGAAUUUCACCUGGUGUGUUUUAAGGCAAAUUUGCAUGCCUGAUUGUUUUCUAAUUUCAUAUGCUGUUUUUAGCUGUACAGGUUUAUUAUUGUUUGUUUAUUUGUUGAUUUUAUGUCAUCCAGUCACAUUUGUUGAAACUGUAUUCAUAUCCCAAAUAAAUGUAUAUAGUCCUAUCAAACAACUGUUUCACAUUUUUUAUUCAAUCCCUUUUAUCUCGUAACCUUCUGAUGUUUUUCAUUCACACAUGCACAUAUUUAAAUGUAUAUUAUACUGUAUCUACAUACACAUUUGUGAGUGUAGAUGUAUGUCAGACAUUCAGUCAUUGUACUUUACUCAUUGACCAAAUACAUGUAUGUAUUAUUGACAUUAUACACGUAAUACAUGCAUGCACAUACAAUAUAUUUUAAAUUAAAUAAUGGCAUUAUUAUUAUUUUAAGUCCUGAUAGAAACCAUGUAUAGAUAUUUCUCAAAACCAUUUACCUCUUAUGAAGUCAAAGCAUAUUGAAGUACAUUAAGACUUGGACAGAUUUUU